UACGGGGGGGGCAAGCGUUGUUCGGAAUUACUGGGCGUAAAGGGCUCGUAGGCGGCCAACUAAGUCGGACGUGAAAUCCCCAGGCUCAACCUGGGAACUGCGUCCGAUACUGGAUGGCUUGAAUUCGGGAGAGGGAUGCAGAAUUCCAGGUGUAGCGGUGAAAUGCGUAGAUAUCUGGAAGAACACCGAAGGCGAAGGCAGCGUUCUGGGAAGCAACUGACGCUCAUGUGCGAAAGCCAGGGGAGCGAACGGG
This 253-nucleotide ribosomal RNA is filed under the name uncultured bacterium. Its description in RNAcentral is "partial 16S ribosomal RNA". It matches the Rfam family "Bacterial small subunit ribosomal RNA", at positions 524 to 776 of the family's 1533-position model. The record is from RNAcentral.